ACAGGCGGGUUGAUCUCAGCAUGCAACUCGGAUAUCUCAUCCUCACUGUUUUCUUGGGGCAACUGCAAGGCACCAUGGGGCAGAUCACACUCACCCAGCAAGAAGGACAAGUCACAGUAAAGGAGAGAGAGACCUUUCAAACAACUUGCACAUACCAGACAUCCAACUUCGGAGGAUUGGCUUGGUACCAGCAAAAGAAAGACCAAGCCCCACAGCUCAUCUUGUAUCAGGCAGUUGCUGGCCCCAGGCAGAGCGGCCGUUUCAGCACGCUGCUGAACAGCACAGGGAAAUACAGCCUCCUGAAGCUGCAGGAGGUCGAGCUCUCCGACAGUGCCUUGUACCUCUGUGCUGGGCAAGACACCGUGGUGCAGGCAGCUGCCCCAGCUGUGCAAUAACGCAGGAAGGGAAGGUGCCUCGACUCUCCACUGCCAGCGAUGUUUCCCCUGCCCCCAGAACUCUGCACAGCGAGAUCCUCUUUCUGGCAGGGGCCAUGCCCAGUGGCUCUGGACAUGGCUGAGCCUGACCACAGGGCAGAGCCUGCUGGGAACCAGGGUGCUAGGGGCUUGCACUCA
This is a non-coding RNA of Pezoporus flaviventris, 572 nucleotides long. The record is from the annotation of a RefSeq genome assembly. Lineage: Eukaryota; Metazoa; Chordata; Aves; Psittaciformes; Psittacidae.